This 253-nucleotide ribosomal RNA is filed under the name uncultured bacterium. RNAcentral's name for it is "partial 16S ribosomal RNA". It matches the Rfam family "Bacterial small subunit ribosomal RNA", at positions 524 to 776 of the family's 1533-position model. The record is from RNAcentral.
UACAGAGGUGGCAAGCGUUGUUCGGAAUUACUGGGCGUAAAGGGCGCGUAGGCGGUCUUGUAAGUCCCGUGUGAAAGCCCCCGGCUCAACUGGGGAACGGCACGGGAAACUGCGAGGCUUGAGUUCGGGAGAGGGAAGCGGAAUUCCGGGUGUAGCGGUGAAAUGCGUAGAUAUCCGGAGGAACACCAGUGGCGAAGGCGGCUUCCUGGACCGAUACUGACGAUGAGGCGCGAAAGCUAGGGGAGCAAACGGG